RNAcentral lists this non-coding RNA (29 nucleotides) under Rattus norvegicus (Norway rat). The record is from RNAcentral. Lineage: Eukaryota; Metazoa; Chordata; Mammalia; Rodentia; Muridae.
UGACAAAUGGAUUCUUAUACCCUGGAGCC